UACGUAGGGGGCAAGCGUUGUCCGGAUUUAUUGGGCGUAAAGAGCGUGUAGGCGGCCACACAGGUCAGCUGUGAAAACUCGAGGCUCAACCUCGAGACGUCGGUUGAAACCGUAUGGCUAGAGUCCGGAAGAGGAGAGUGGAAUUCCCGGUGUAGCGGUGAAAUGCGCAGAUAUCGGGAAGAACACCCGUGGCGAAGGCGGCUCUCUGGAACGCAACUGACGCUGAGACGCGAAAGCGUGGGGAGCAAACAGG
RNAcentral lists this ribosomal RNA (253 nucleotides) under uncultured bacterium. Its description in RNAcentral is "partial 16S ribosomal RNA". It matches the Rfam family "Bacterial small subunit ribosomal RNA", at positions 524 to 776 of the family's 1533-position model. The record is from RNAcentral.